Molecule: long non-coding RNA, 917 nt
Organism: Numida meleagris (helmeted guineafowl)
Lineage: Eukaryota; Metazoa; Chordata; Aves; Galliformes; Numididae
Exons: 2
Source: RefSeq, a predicted model, not a curated record
ACCCGAAGUGGUCACGGUGACAACACAACCCAGGGAGGUGGUGACACCCAAGGUGGUCGCGGUGACACCCGAAGUCGCGGUGGCACCCGAAGUCGCGGUGACAACGCAACCCAGGGAAGUGGUGACGGUGACACCCAAGGUGGUGACGGUGACAUCCGAGGUGGUCGCGGUGACACCCGAAGUCGCGGUGACAACGCAACCCAGGGAGGUGGUGACGGUGACACCCAAGGUGGUGACGGUGACACCCAAGGUGGUCGCGGUGACAACGCAACCCGGGGAGGUGGUGACGGUGACACCCGAGGUGGUCGCGGUGACGCUCAACGCGUCAUCGCUCCCCCCUCACGCGUCACCGCGACCGCCACAACCGGAGGAGGUGUUCUUGGGGACAACGCGACCCGGGGUUGUAGCGUUGCCCGGGACGACGGUGACGCCGCCGGUGACAACGUGCCCGCCCGAGGGGGGACGGGUGACACCCGCAGGCACCUCCUGCCCGCGGUUGUUGCCGUCACCCGCUCCGCGGCCCUACAACGUCACCGCACACUGACAACCGGACAGUCACCCUGUUGUCCGGGUGACACGGUACGACUGUCGCCUCCGCUUCGAGGUGACACCUGGAGAUGGUCACCGUUGCGCGGGUGUCGCGUGGCACGGUGACACCCACGGAUUCGGGGACGCUUUGGAGGACCGUCACCGCGGUAACGGCGCCGCGGUGGCACCGAGCACCCAUGGGUGCCCCUACCUCACCCUCAGGGACCCCCCCCUCAUUCUCAGGGGGGGAGUCACGCCGGUAUUUAUAGGUUUCUAUUUAUUGAAGAUUAUUUAACGGUCGGGUAUUUAAUAUUUAACACUAUUUAUUUUUGGGGGGGGCCGUUUCGCCCCGAUUUUGGGUAAUUUAUUACAGGAACGGUUGUUUACAA